UUUAAAGAGAGUUUGAUCCUGGCUCAGGACGAACGCUGGCGGCGUGCCUAAUACAUGCAAGUCGAACGAACGGAGGAAGAGCUUGCUCUUCCAAAGUUAGUGGCGGACGGGUGAGUAACACGUGGGCAACCUGCCUGUAAGUUGGGGAUAACUCCGGGAAACCGGGGCUAAUACCGAAUGAUAGAGUGUG
RNAcentral lists this ribosomal RNA (190 nucleotides) under Listeria monocytogenes. Its description in RNAcentral is "partial 16S ribosomal RNA". It matches the Rfam family "Bacterial small subunit ribosomal RNA", at positions 1 to 185 of the family's 1533-position model. Lineage: Bacteria; Bacillati; Bacillota; Bacilli; Caryophanales; Listeriaceae. The record is from RNAcentral.